AGACCAAUGUUUUUGAAGGCUGUAAUUAACACAUUUUCACUGAAGCUGUUUUCUCAGCAGCUGUUUAGUCAUUAACUCACAAACACAAUGUCUGAGUCCCAAAUGACACCAAAUUCCCUAUGUAGCGCACUACUUUUGACAUAGGGGCUCUUGUUAUUAAAAGUAGUGCACUGCAUAGGGAAUAUAGGGUGCAAUAAUGCUGAUGUUCUGUGGAGUAACCAAGAUAAUACAUGAUCUCAAACCACCCGUGGAGCAGCUGAUGGACUGUGAGUGGGAAGGUAACUGGAGCAGCUGAUGGACUGUGAGUGGGAAGGUAACUGGAGCAGCUGAUGGACUGUGAGUGGGAAGGUAACUGGAGCAGCUGAUGGACUGUGAGAGGGAAGGUAACUGGAGCAGCUGAUGGACUGUGAGAGGGAAGGUAACUGGAGCAGCUGAUGGACUGUGAGAGGGAAGGUAACUGGAGCAGCUGAUGGACUGUGAGAGGGAAGGUAACUGGAGCAGCUGAUGGACUGUGAGAGGGAAGGUAACUGGAGCAGCUGGAACGGGUCUCACGUUGGGAUAUUAUUAUAUAUUAUUACUAAUUGUUAUCUUUUGAUUGAUACGUUUAAUAUUGUCUGCGUUAAACUACACAGUGCACAACACACACGUUAGAGUAAGCAUGAACACACACA
Oncorhynchus keta (chum salmon) is the source of this 671-nucleotide long non-coding RNA. RefSeq lists it as uncharacterized. The record is from RefSeq and is a predicted model, not a curated record. The transcript has 3 exons. Lineage: Eukaryota; Metazoa; Chordata; Actinopteri; Salmoniformes; Salmonidae.